UUAAAUUGAAGAGUUUGAUCAUGGCUCAGAUUGAACGCUGGCGGCAGGCCUAACACAUGCAAGUCGAACGGUAACAGGAAGCAGCUUGCUGCUUCGCUGACGAGUGGCGGACGGGUGAGUAAUGUCUGGGAAACUGCCUGAUGGAGGGGGAUAACUACUGGAAACGGUGGCUAAUACCGCAUAACGUCGCAAGACCAAAGAGGGGGACCUUCGGGCC
This 217-nucleotide ribosomal RNA is filed under the name Salmonella enterica subsp. enterica serovar Typhimurium. Its description in RNAcentral is "partial 16S ribosomal RNA". It matches the Rfam family "Bacterial small subunit ribosomal RNA", at positions 1 to 215 of the family's 1533-position model. The record is from RNAcentral. Lineage: Bacteria; Pseudomonadati; Pseudomonadota; Gammaproteobacteria; Enterobacterales; Enterobacteriaceae.